This 549-nucleotide long non-coding RNA is filed under the name Aotus nancymaae (Ma's night monkey). Its description in RNAcentral is "lncRNA (ENSANAG00000039375.1)". Lineage: Eukaryota; Metazoa; Chordata; Mammalia; Primates; Aotidae. The record is from RNAcentral.
AUUAUUCUCCUACAACAUAAUUGUCAAAAGCUGACAUCAAACUGAAGGCAACACUUGGGCCCUAUUGGGACCCACCUACUGAUCAAUCUAAUUGCUCAUCUUUGCUUAGAAUUUCAUCUGAGUUCCAAAGAUUGUUUUCUAAGUGGAAUAUUACCUGUUGAUAUUUAUGAUCAGGUAGCUAUCUUUCUUGGGAAGGAAAGUAGUAGGAUUCAAAUGAAACUUACAAUGCACUCACAUCUUUUAUUCUCUUUAUUUGAGCUUAGAUGCUGAGAUCUGUAAAGGAUACAGAGAUGGAAGAAGCAGCAACACACGAGAGCUCUGGAAAAUGGAAUGGGGAGUGCAUCACCCCACGGAAUCUCUAGAGAAAUUUGACUUCAAGAAAGGAAAUAGCCUCCAAGGAAGAACAAAAAGAAACCAGUGCCUCUCCAAAGGCUGUCAGAGGCUAGAUUGCUAACCCUCAUUAGCAAGCAAGAGACCAGGUUAGUUUGAGAUAUUGUGGCUCUUAACGUAAUAAAUACUAAAAUUAUGUAAUAUUAUUAUUGAGACAUC